Non-coding RNA from Opisthocomus hoazin, 759 nucleotides. The record is from the annotation of a RefSeq genome assembly. NCBI's taxonomy places the organism in Eukaryota, Metazoa, Chordata, Aves, Opisthocomiformes, Opisthocomidae.
AUGGAAUGUAUCCAAGGCCUCCAACACCCACUGAGGCGGAUGAAUGAAGAGAUCCAUUUUGUAAAGACUUGUCACACGGUGCUGGCAGUGGAGCAUGGGGAAAACUCACCUGGGGAAGUGGAACCAAACUUCUUGUUGUCCCAGAACCUAAGAGCUUCCCAAGUGCAUCUUGAAACCUCAGUGUUUAAUGGCAGAAUAAGUAAUGGUCUCCCUGCCACAAAGAAACUGCAUACCAAAAAGUGUGCUUUCUACUUAAAAGCUAACUGGAAACUCACAUUUGGAUCUGGGACAAGACUUCUGGUUUUGCCAGAUGUUACUCCAUCUCCUUCAGUCUACAGGCUGAUCUCUAAAGAUGAUGAGGAUUUGGAAAUGUGCCUUAUCACAGAUUACUCCCCUGAAAAGCUUACACUUAACUUGGCUGAUAAACAGACAAAUGCUGUUGUGGAGGUGGCAACACCCGAGAACAAACAUGAAGCUAGCUACCUGUCAACCUACUGGGCCAAGAAAGAUGAAAUGCAGUGCCAUGCAAAUCACGAAGACUUUGGAGAACUGAAGGGAGAGGAUCCUGAAAGUGGUGCCAGCACUGUCUGUGUUACAGGCAUGUCUCUACACUUCAGGACAGAUGAAAACCUGAACAUGCUGUCCUUAUCACAGCUGGGCCUGAAAAUAAUUUUAAUGAAAGGAAUCAUUUUUAAUGUGAUGAUGACGAUGCUUAUGUGGAAAAAAAAGAAUGAAAGUAACCAGAUGGUGCAGUCCUGA